GAAAAUAGGGAGAGAGAAGAGGAGAGUGGAGGAGGAGCCGGAUCUGUCGGAUCUUCCUCAACAUUAUACUUUUGCAGCAUCUGGUUCGUUCUUCAUCGUUCUCCAGGUUCUUCAAUUUAUAAUUCCCGAGUUCUUUAAUUUCUUUUAUUUACAUUCAAGUUAUUUAUUGGAUUCCCGCUUGCAUCAAGUGCUCUAGUCUUUAUAACGCUAGAGUAGUAAUUAAUAGAUUAGACGUGGUGUUUAGUCUUGCAAUUACCUGGAAUUGCACCCAAUCCUGCGGAUUGCUGUGGUAGCCUUAGGGUAGUGACAGCCCUAACGGUCGACGUAUUCCACCUCGUUCGGAUCGGUGUUUGUAGGACCGUAGUCAGACCUUCCUAGC
This 379-nucleotide long non-coding RNA is filed under the name Sorghum bicolor (sorghum). RNAcentral describes it as "long non-coding RNA (SBIC_LNC012971)". Lineage: Eukaryota; Viridiplantae; Streptophyta; Magnoliopsida; Poales; Poaceae. The record is from RNAcentral.